Molecule: long non-coding RNA, 418 nt
Organism: Oryzias melastigma (Indian medaka)
Lineage: Eukaryota; Metazoa; Chordata; Actinopteri; Beloniformes; Adrianichthyidae
Exons: 3
Source: RefSeq, a predicted model, not a curated record
GCUAGCUGUUUUGGCUAAUUUUGAAUUUUUUGAGGUUUUUUUUCAGCUAAUUUGGCACUUCGCUAAUAUUUUAGUUAGCAAUCAGCUUCAGCUUGAGUGUUUUAGCUGUUAAUUUAAACAUCUCCAGUUACUAAUCUAUCUCAGAGAAGAAAAGGGUUAUUUGGCCCUCACAAGAAGAAGUUUGGGGACCCCUUCACUACAGUGACAGUCACAGGAACUACUUCAGGAAUUAAAGUAGCCCAAAUUGCUUUAGCAUUUCCGGAAAAAACCUUCAGCAUCUUCAGCGACCGGAUUCAGCUCAAAGCAUCCACACAUCAUCGCAGGUAAUGCUACUUUUCUAGUGCACACUGUAGUGAUUCUCCUGCUCCUCUCCGUAUGUAAAAACUCAAUCACACUUUCAACGAUUCUUGGCGUCAAA